RNAcentral lists this transfer RNA (85 nucleotides) under Felis catus (domestic cat). It matches the Rfam family "tRNA". Rfam says of the family: Transfer RNA (tRNA) molecules are approximately 80 nucleotides in length. Their secondary structure includes four short double-helical elements and three loops (D, anti-codon, and T loops). Further hydrogen bonds mediate the characteristic L-shaped molecular structure. tRNAs have two regions of fundamental functional importance: the anti-codon, which is responsible for specific mRNA codon recognition, and the 3' end, to which the tRNAs corresponding amino acid is attached (by aminoacyl-tRNA synthetases). tRNAs cope with the degeneracy of the genetic code in two manners: having more than one tRNA (with a specific anti-codon) for a particular amino acid; and 'wobble' base-pairing, i.e. permitting non-standard base-pairing at the 3rd anti-codon position. Lineage: Eukaryota; Metazoa; Chordata; Mammalia; Carnivora; Felidae. RNAcentral also lists the same sequence under 2 other names. The record is from Rfam by way of RNAcentral.
GCCUGGGUGGCUCAGUCGGUUGAGCGUCCAACUUUGGCUCCGGUCAUGAUCUCUCAGUUUGUGGGUUCGAGCCCCACGUCAGGCU